UUUUAGGUUCAGGCGACGCUGCCAGUGUGACGAAUAAUUUAGUGGACGGGACGCUCAACAGCAGCUUGUCAGACACCUCGGUAGCUUUCUAGCAAACAUAGCUACAACAUUCACGCUCUUUACACUGUUUUGGUGUAUAUUAGUCGCUGUGUAGUAAACACACUUCUGUUGUAUGUACUUGUUGGUCCAUUCAAUUAUAUAUUUACGUUGUUUGUCAGCUAGCUGAUUUGCUAAGGUAGCUUGGAACUAGGCUAGUCGCUGAUGCUAGCUUGCUAACAUCCCGAGCAUGAAUUCACUAAGCUACUCUCCUGAUAAAGAAGACGAGGUCUGCUGGACGAAGAAAGAAGCUCUGGUGAAAGAGGAGGAGGAAGAGGAGGAUGUUACAAUACAAAAACAAUUAGAUGGUGAGGCUGUUACCGUUUCAGUGAAAGAAGAGGAAGACCCGUUCAGAGUGAAAGAGGAGGAGGAUGUUAUAGUAAAAGAAGAGGAGGAAGAGAAAGAGGAGGAGGGGUGAUUUCUGUCACAUUGGAGGAAGAAGAGGAGGUUGGAGAUCUGUUUAACACCAGAGAGAGACGGGACUACCGUGAGUCCUCUGGGGAGCCUCAACAACCUCAUGAUGCUGACGAGGCAGAGGAGAGUCUCUCCAGAUCAGAACACCUGCAGAGAUCCACAGGGAAGAGAACUCACUGCUGCUCUGACUGUGGGGAGAGUUUCACCUCCUCAUCAGGCAUUCAAAUUCAUCAGAGAAUCCACACAGGAGAGAAAUCUUAUGGCUGUGAUCAAUGUGGGAAGAGUUUUGUUAAAUAUCGCCGUCUGAAGAUACACCAGAGGACACACACAGGAGAGAAAUCAUAUAGCUGUGAUCAAUGUGGGAAGAGUUUUACUCAGCUAAGCAGCCUGAUAUCACACCAGAGAACACACAUAGGCGAGAAACCUUAUAGCUGUACGCAAUGUGGGAAGAGUUUUACUCAGCUAAGCAUCCUGAUAUCACACCAGAGAACUGUCGUGACGUUGUAUUAGUUCAUGUGACGGCUGUUGCUCAUCGAAUUAUUAAAUGUUUCUAAUUGCGUGAUGAAAUGAAUCAAGCAAUUAUUAACUCAUUAACCUGGGGAACCAUGGGAAAAUUAGUUUUAUUGAGUUUCUAUUUCCCAAAUUAACUCAAAGAAUAUCAGAAUACCGAUUUUAGAACCUUCGCUAAUGAAUCAGUUUCCUUUACAAUCUCAUUCUGAACAUCGCAUAAUCUGUCAAUCUGCACAAAACCGAGUCCCACCAAUGAGUUCGUACCACACCAAUCUUAGUUGAGUAUUUAUUUACUAGAAAGCUAAAAUGAUGAUACAAGAUACACAUACACCAAAAACACCGUCUAGGCUAUUGAUUAGAACUUAAUAUUAUGGGUCAACACACAAUGGCGCGUGUUACCCAAAAUUGGGAUUUAAAAGACAGAGAAAAAGUGAAAGCACACGAUAGAAAUAUACAUUUGGAUGCAUUUGUCAGUGAUGCUUAUUUGAACCCUAGCCUUGCCCCAAACUGCCGCUCUUAUGGGUCAGAAUAUAAUGAUGUAAUUACGUGUGGGAGGUCUCAGAUGGGAAGCUCCGCGUGGGUCGCUUUGGCUUCUCAAUGACGCACUUCUCCGGCGCAACUCUCUGGUCGUCCUCACAAUGUCAGUGUCCAUCUGAUUCCUCGCCCUUGCUCUGGGAGGAGUCUUCUGAGGACAGACAGAUCUGUAGCUCAGGGCUCACAGCGUAGGAAUGAAACAGUGUAGAUACCACGAUUUGAUGGAGAGUGGAGGUUAGGUGGUCCGGCUUGAAUUCACCCGCUGAGACACAGCUACUCAUCAGUAGCAUGGGUAGAAAAAUAUUUCUUUGUCUUCAACCUUGGGUUGAGUUUUGGGUUCGUUUACUUCUUAGACCAAGGCUGCAGCUUGGGUCACUUAGUCUGAUCUGUUCAUUCUGACUCACAGGUCUUAUACCCUCUGGUCAGAAGUGGGCGUAACUGCCUUCAGGGCAAUUCUCUGGGCGUACCAAGUUAAGAGGCAAGGUCUAGAUUUUACUCAAAUCCAAUUUUAGACAACUAACUUCACAUUUCAACUUUACCAAAACAUUCUCUUUGAUUUGGACAUUUUCCACACAACGUCCAAUGAAUAAACAUCAAGUGUAUCCUAGGAAAACUCUUAAAGUUACAAUGUUUCCGUAAAGACAUUGUCCUUUAAGCUUUAAUAACCAGACAAAAAUGACAUACAUUUUCAUAUUCCAUCUAUCGUCAUGACCACCGUUGUGGCUGACGGAAACCAUUGUUCCAAAGUCCCUUUAUUGCAUGUUUAAUGUUCUGAGGCUGAUUCUCCAUAGUGAAAGGAAGGUUGUCUGUGGCCUAAGAUUUACCAUGGGCGUAGGGGUCAUAAAACCCCCACAUCUUCAGACCCCUAGAUCUCUCCUCCUCUGUUGGGGGUGAGAGAUUAUCUGUAGGGUUGUGGUCUCCUGUAACCUGACCUGAUCAGGACAGUCAUGACCGAACACACACAGGAGAGACACCAUAUAGCUGUGAUGAAUGUGGGAAGAGUUUUACUGCAUUUAGAAAUCUGAAUCUACACCAGGGAACACACACAGGAGAGAAAUAUUUUAGCUGUACUCAGUGUGGGAAGAGUUUUACUCUGCUAAGCAACCUGAUAUCACACACAGGAGAUAAAUCCUAUAGCUGUGAUCAAUGUGGGAAGAGUUUUACUCAGUCAAACAGAGAUUUACUCUGCUAAGCAACCUGAUAUCACACCAGAGAACACACACAGGAGAGAAAUCUCUUAACUGUGACCAGAGAUAAUCUGAUAAAAGAUCUCAGAUCAAAUAUCAGAAAGUACAUACAUGAAGGAGUUGUUUCAUGAUAUCAAUUAAUUAAUGUCACAAUGUAAAAUGUUUUAACAAUGUACUAGGAGUAUUUUAAUAAUGUCACAAUGUAGAAGCCUAAAUGUUUGCCCCUUUAUCAAUUGAUUUCAACAUGAUAUGGAUAUUAGCCUCAGGGGAAAAAUCCAGGCUAUGAAUUGAAAGUUGUGUUGUUUUACACUUACCACAUUGGUGACCCACUUGAAUCAAAAUGCAACACUUCAAAAUGUAGCUAGCUGUUUACCACGUUGUUGUCCUCUACCCAGUGAUGUUUACAUUAUUCCCAGAUUCCGUGUGGCUUUUGAGCUGUUAGUUUUAACAAGACGUGCAACCUCAUCUCCCUCCUCUCGCACAAUUGAUUUCAACGUGAUAUCAAUGAGUGAUGACAAAUAAGUGAGGCGUUCCUUUGUUUAGUGACCCCUAAAUGUAAAUGCAUCACUCCAAAAUGUAGCUGACUGUCUUCUGCAGGUUGUCCUCUAACCAGUAAGGGAAAAUAUAUCUCCCAUUUCCAUGUGUUUUUUUAGUUGUGUUAGUUUCAACAGCACGUACAACCUGAUUUCCCCCCUAAUCGAUAUCAGUUAUUUAUUGCUGUUUGUUCAUUUUUAUAAGGUGCUUGUUUUAAAUAAUACAAGUAAUAUGAUUAUUAUGGCAGAUGUUUGUGUAUAUUGCACAUUUUAUGUUUAGGUUUUCAAUAUAUUACAAAGUGUUUCUGCAUAUUGGUUAUUGAUUUGCACACAUUAAAACUGUGUGUUGACAUUGGGGCUAUCCCACCUAGCAAAAUUGAAAAGACUAUGCCCAACGGCCAAUAAUCAAUAAAUCAGUUAUCAAUUUUA
Long non-coding RNA from Oncorhynchus gorbuscha (pink salmon), 3703 nucleotides. RefSeq lists it as uncharacterized. Lineage: Eukaryota; Metazoa; Chordata; Actinopteri; Salmoniformes; Salmonidae. The transcript is spliced from 2 exons. The record is from RefSeq and is a predicted model, not a curated record.